Molecule: ribosomal RNA, 566 nt
Filed under: uncultured bacterium
Lineage: Bacteria
Description: bacterial SSU rRNA
Rfam family: Bacterial small subunit ribosomal RNA
Source: RNAcentral
GGCGUAACGCGCUAUACAAUCUGCCUUUCACACUAGGGAUAGCCCGAAGAAAUUUGGAUUAAUACCCUAAUGGUAUAUAAGAGCGGCAUCGUUUUUAUAUUAAAGCUACGGUGGUGAAAGAUGAGUAUGCGUUCUAUUAGCUAGUUGGAGAGGUAACGGCUCCCCAAGGCGACGAUAGAUAGGGGUUCUGAGAGGGAUGUCCCCCACACUGGUACUGAGAUACGGACCAGACUCCUACGGGAGGCAGCAGUGAGGAAUAUUGGACAAUGGUCGGAAGACUGAUCCAGCCAUGCCGCGUGCAGGAUGAAGGUCCUAUGGAUUGUAAACUGCUUUUGUAAGGGAAGAAUAAGGGGUACGUGUACUUUGAUGACGGUACCUUACGAAUAAGCAUCGGCUAACUCCGUGCCAGCAGCCGCGGUAAUACGGAGGAUGCGAGCGUUAUCCGGAAUCAUUGGGUUUAAAGGGUCCGUAGGCGGGCUGAUAAGUCAGAGGUGAAAGCGCUUAGCUCAACUAAGCAACUGCCUUUGAAACUGUCAGUCUUGAAUGAUUGUGAAGUAGUUGGAAUG